RNAcentral lists this transfer RNA (84 nucleotides) under Candidatus Methylacidithermus pantelleriae. It matches the Rfam family "tRNA". From Rfam's summary of the family: Transfer RNA (tRNA) molecules are approximately 80 nucleotides in length. Their secondary structure includes four short double-helical elements and three loops (D, anti-codon, and T loops). Lineage: Bacteria; Pseudomonadati; Verrucomicrobiota; Methylacidiphilae; Methylacidiphilales; Methylacidiphilaceae. The record is from Rfam by way of RNAcentral.
GGGCAGAUACCGAAGCGGCCAAACGGGGCAGACUGUAAAUCUGCUGGCGUCAUGCCUUCGCUGGUUCGAAUCCAGCUCUGCCCA